This 686-nucleotide long non-coding RNA is filed under the name Ananas comosus (pineapple). Its description in RNAcentral is "long non-coding RNA (ACOM_LNC028824)". The record is from RNAcentral. Lineage: Eukaryota; Viridiplantae; Streptophyta; Magnoliopsida; Poales; Bromeliaceae.
UGCUAUUAGGUUUUUAGCCCUUGGAUCUCCUCCUUGAUUACUAAUAGCCUUUGGAUCAAACACUAUUCCACCUACCACCACCUACCACCAUCAUCCCGACCCUACAUUUCUCUAUCCAAGGGUUAAAAACUCACAAGCACCAUCCUCUUGAUGCUUUUAGAAGUAUUCUAGCUCAACUCAUAAUAUAUAUAUAUAUAUAUAGAGAGAGAGAGAGAGAGUAGAGCUACUAUACUUUUAUGAGUAUUGGGCCCUUCGUACUCAUAAGUUGUUUUCGAUGAUAGAGCUGCCGAAUCGACAUUCCACUCCGUUAAAUAUGAUCUAGAGUAUUUGAACUUCUAAAAAAUAAAUUUCGUAAUUUUUCAGAAUCAUAAUAAAGUCCAUCAAGCGGGCAUAAAAUGAACGGUUAUAAUCGAACGACGUCCUCAAAAUGGAUGAUUGGAUCCUUCAAUUUAAGAUCGAAGUUAUUAAUCUUUAUUUAGGUAGUGAAUAGAAUUUUCUAUCAAAAAUUCAACUAAUUUCGAUUCUUUUAUACCGUUAAACUAGCAAGUAUCUCAUACCAACCGUUAAAAAUUGUCAAUUUUGUAACCUUUUGAUCGUAAGGUAAAUGAUGUCGAAAAAUUAUAAAAUUUGAUUUCUACAAGUUUUAAAUGCUCGAGAUAAUGUUUAACGGUAUGGAUCGUCGAUUC